GACGAACGCUGGCGGCGUGCCUAAUACAUGCAAGUCGAGCGAAUCUUUGGGAGCUUGCUCCCGAAGAUUAGCGGCGGACGGGUGAGUAACACGUGGGCAACCUGCCUAUAAGACUGGGAUAACUUCGGGAAACCGGAGCUAAUACCGGAUAAUCCUUUUCCUCUCAUGAGGAAGAGCUGAAAGACGGCAUCUCGCUGUCACUUAUAGAUGGGCCCGCGGCGCAUUAGCUAGUUGGUGAGGUAACGGCUCACCAAGGCGACGAUGCGUAGCCGACCUGAGAGGGUGAUCGGCCACACUGGGACUGAGACACGGCCCAGACUCCUACGGGAGGCAGCAGUA
Molecule: ribosomal RNA, 339 nt
Filed under: uncultured bacterium
Lineage: Bacteria
Description: bacterial SSU rRNA
Rfam family: Bacterial small subunit ribosomal RNA
Source: RNAcentral